RNAcentral lists this ribosomal RNA (468 nucleotides) under uncultured bacterium. RNAcentral describes it as "partial 16S ribosomal RNA". It matches the Rfam family "Bacterial small subunit ribosomal RNA", at positions 28 to 507 of the family's 1533-position model. The record is from RNAcentral.
GACGAACGCUGGCGGCGUGCUUAACACAUGCAAGUCGAACGGAAAGGCCCUGCUUUUGUGGGGUGCUCGAGUGGCGAACAGGUGAGUAACACGUGAGUAACCUGCCCUUGACUUUGGGAUAACUUCAGGAAACUGGGGCUAAUACCGGAUAGGAGCUCCUGCUGCAUGGUGGGGGUUGGAAAGUUUCGGCGGUUGGGGAUGGACUCGCGGCUUAUCAGCUUGUUGGUGGGGUAGUGGCUUACCAAGGCUUUGACGGGUAGCCGGCCUGAGAGGGUGACCGGCCACAUUGGGACUGAGAUACGGCCCAGACUCCUACGGGAGGCAGCAGUGGGGAAUAUUGCACAAUGGGCGGAAGCCUGAUGCAGCAACGCUGCGUGCGGGAUGACGGCCUUCGGGUUGUAAACCGCUUUCGCCUGUGACGAAGCGUGAGUGACGGUAAUGGGUAAAGAAGCACCGGCUAACUACGUG